This is a long non-coding RNA of Xenia sp. Carnegie-2017, 422 nucleotides long. RefSeq lists it as uncharacterized. Lineage: Eukaryota; Metazoa; Cnidaria; Anthozoa; Malacalcyonacea; Xeniidae. The record is from RefSeq and is a predicted model, not a curated record. The transcript has 2 exons.
AAUUUGUAUUGUCGAGUUUAAAAAUGCUCUUCAUGGAAUGUAACUCGACAAUAUUUGCCACUUCUAUGAAUAUAUUAAAGACAAGGUUUUACUCACCAAAGUACUGUGGCCAGACUCUCACACACAUUUAUUCGCCUUUUUUAACGUUUUACUCACCAAUGCACUGUGGCUAUACUCACACAGUGGGAAAAACAAGACCAAAUACAAGUACGUUGCUUCAAGUUGAACUUAUUAUUCGAUCAAACAAAAUGAAAUUUAUGUUUGCGAUGGCUGUUAAUUCUAUCAAUUCCUUUAAAUCUUGAUGUAUUAAGUUUUCAUUAUUGUCAACAUAAACAAAAGACAGGAUUAUGCCAUUCAAUACAAGCGUAUAAGAAACGAAUUUAGAGAAUUACAUUGUUUAUACUCUUUUGCUUCCGAUACAA